This 686-nucleotide long non-coding RNA is filed under the name Homo sapiens (human). RNAcentral's name for it is "non-protein coding lnc-NUPR2-10:1". The record is from RNAcentral. Lineage: Eukaryota; Metazoa; Chordata; Mammalia; Primates; Hominidae.
AAUCAUUACCAAUGUGAGAGAUGUGGGAAAGUCUUUUGCCAAUGUGGAAACUUUAUUAUCCAUCAGAGUAUACAUAUUCAACAGGGGCCUUACAAAUGCAAUUAAUGUGGUGAAACUUUGAGCCAGUCCUCAAAACUUACUCAACAGCAGAGAAGUCAUGUUGGAAAAAAUCGCAUACAGAUGCAAAAUAUGUGGGAAAAUAUUCAGUCAGUCAUCAAAUAUAAAUAGACAUAAGAUAAUUCUUAUUGGAGAGGAACGAUUGAAACAUAAAACAUAUGCCAAAGCCUUUCACUGUUACUCAAACUUUACAUAACACCAGAGAAUCCAUACAUGAAGAGAAAUUCUACAAAUGUAAUAAGUGUGACAAAGCAUUUAACUGAUGCUUGUGUCUUACUCAACAUCAGAAAAUUAAUACUGGAGAGAAACCCUAAAAAUGUAAAGAAUGUGGCAAAUUUUUAAUGUGGGCUCAAACCUUACCACACACACACACAAGAUUUAUGCUAGAGAGACAUGCUGCAAGUGUAAAAAAUGAGGCAGAACCUUUAACUGGUGUUCACAACUUACCCAACAUCAGAGAAUUAAUACUGGAUAGAAACCUUAUACAUGUAAGGAAUUUGGAAAGAACUUUGUCCAUAUACCUUAGAGAACACUACAGUAUUUGCACUGGAGAAACACUUUACAAAUGU